Non-coding RNA from Zootoca vivipara (common lizard), 3884 nucleotides. Lineage: Eukaryota; Metazoa; Chordata; Lepidosauria; Squamata; Lacertidae. The record is from RefSeq and is a predicted model, not a curated record.
GCUCAUACCAAAAUAAAAACUUAGUUGGUCUUUAAGGUGCUACUGAAGGAAUUUUUUUAUUUUACUUCGACCCAGACCAACACGGCUACCUACCUGUAACCAUUUAGAUAGGAUCACUGUGCAAUAAUGGGGCUGUAGGGCAGGUGGCCUCAUUGAACUGAGAUAAUUGGUAGCCAUGGAUGUAGAAAAUGAUUUAUUCUGCUUUUACAUCUACUGCUUUCUGUACUGGGUGCUGCAAUCUAAAGCAUCUGGAGGGUACCAGCCUCAGGAAGGCUUGCUUGCUGCUGAAAUAAGAUAUUGCAGUUCCACUCAUAAAAUGUUACAUGGUACCAAGAGAUAAAAGGCAACAGAACUGUUCUUCCAAACAAGUUGAGACAUGAGGUUUCCAUGCAUAAUGAUAGCAUUCAACUUGGAAUUGGAGCGAAGUGGGAAUUUGAAUUCUCUAGUUUCUUAGUUCUUCACAUGGGUUCACUUCUGGUCAGUAAAUGUACAUGCUCCUCAGACAAUCUGAAAUAGUUAUAUCUUUGGCUGAAAAAGCAGUGUGUGCUAUAUAACUGGAGACACUGGCUGAGUUUGGACCUUGUACUAACUAAACCAUCGUUUAGCAUGGCUUCCGUCCAGUGUUGUUGAGCUUCAGGUUUGCACUCUGCUGCUCCCUGCAGGUGGAAGGAGUUCAGAAGCUUUGCUUAAAAACUGGCUUCAUUCCUUCAAGCUUACAAAGCGGUUAAUAAUUAACCAGUUUAUUUGAACAAGCCAACUUGACAAUAGAAGAAGCUCAACAAAAGCGUUUAACUGAAACAAGAGUUGAGUUUUGCCUUCUCUGUUUUUAGGGCAUUAGUGCAAUGCAGCAGAUCAUCAGUGUGUUCCCGGCCACCAGGAAGUAAAAUAUUUGCAGAAAGAGACUUGAAAUGCACUCUAUAUAAAGGUUUUUCUCCCUGCUGGUGGUAUGUAGGAAGUGUGCAGCAGGAAUAAAUUUAAGGUGAGGAAAUGAAUAAAAGUCUGGCUGCAUCAUUAUGGUAAUCCACGGAGUAGCUACAGUGUAACACUGAUAUCAUUAUUAUGUCAAGACCUAAGACUGAGACAUGGGAUGUGUCCCAGAUAGCAAAAGGUAAAGAGUCUAGCUUUACUAGCCAAAGGGUAGCCAAUGUGGUGCUCUGAAGAUGUUGCUGGCCAACAUCUCUCAUCACCCUUGAGACCCUGGCCAUGCGCUUUGCAAGGACUAGUUUCUUACUAAGCCAAUGGUUGAUUAUACUUCUAGCAUUCUUCAGGAAAGUUGAAAGGAUUAUCUCAUUGAUGUAUUGGAAAAAUAAAGCACAUUUAUAUGAAGGAAAUGUUGCCAUGGAAUGUGGCUAUAAAUGGGCUCAUGCAGAUUUUUAGAGGUUUCUUAAAUACUCUUGUGCAUUGCAGCACAUAAGUGGGAGGUAAUGCCUACCCAUUUUAAACUGAAUAUUUCAGGGAGUCCUAGAGUUGGAAGGGAUCCUGAGGACCAUCUAGUCCAGCCCCCUGCAAUGCAGGUAUAUGCAGCUGUCCCAUACGGGGAUCAAACAUGCAACCCUGUCGUUAUCAGCACCUUGAUCUAAGCAACCAAGCUAUUUUUCUUCCUGUGUGGCUAUAGUUUUAAGCUAAUCUUUCGGACAUAAAUAGCUUCUUUCAUAAGUAUAUGGAAAGGUUGGAGACACACUAUUUACUCUGGAGGAGGUGCAAAAGGUAUGUACCGUAUGUACCUGAAUAUAAGCCUCACUUUCCCCCCAAAUUCUGACCGUGAAAAGUUAAAGUGCGGCUUAAAUUCGUGACCUUACAAAAAUCUGCUUUUACGAUAUCGCUGCUGAAACAGACAUACAGUAAAAUGGAAUGGGUGUGAGUACCUGCGGAAUUCUAAGGGAGCGGCUUAUAUUCGGGUAUUAUCUUCCCCCCCCCCUUUUCUGCCCCAUGAAUUUUAAAGGUGUGGCUUACAUUUGGGUGUGGCUUAUAUUCAGGCCAGUACGGUAAUAAUACUUGAUUGGGCUAUACUAUAUCUAGUAUGGGGCACAAGCUUCCCUUUCACCUGCUUAAUCUUUACUCAUCCUUUCUGUGCCUCACUGGAGGGUUAAGGGGGCUCAUCUGAACAGAAUUCCUUUUAAAAACUAUUCUGUAUUGCACAAUUAGACACCAGUAAAUUCCUAAGGACUUUAUUUCCUGCAUUGCUGUCAUAGUGGUGUCAAAGUCAAACCCAUGCAAUACGAAAACGCUACUGUGAGCUGUGCUAGGAAUAAACCUGAUGCUUCUUCCCAGUCAUGCAUUUGUACUUUUCAGAGUACCGUACAUUUUUUUGCAGAGGUGUCAAGUGACUGGAGCAAGACAUCUAGAUAUUUCCUUCAUCUCUUUAAAGUGGCUAAGUAAAAAUUGAUUCUUCCCAACAGGCCAAUGAUAUUUCAGCCUCUCCUUGUUUUUAAUGGUGCUUUUUUUCUUUCAAAGUAGAUUGCUUUCAAGUGUCUUAAAAUAAUUUGCUAUGAGAGCAUUUUCUCUAGAGCAAGUAAUAACUGCCUACUGUCCAGUGUCUUAAUCAUGUGUUAUGUGACUUUUAAUCUUGAUCUUGAAUGUAUUUAGCCUCUACAGGGCAGGAUGGUGCAAUUACAAAUGUUUUUCUAUCAUAUUUUAAGGCUUCCUGGAAGCCUUUAUUCUUCUGUCAAGCUCUACUGUACAGGACUUGAAUUCUAUUUAAAAACCUUGCUGCAGCUCAUGUUUUAUAAGCUUGAUGGCAGUGUGGAGAAUAUCUGAAUUGCUUCUCUCUUAAUUUUCCCCCAAACCCAGGUAUGUGGAAGAUUGUGAGAUAUUUUAUCUGCAAGUUUUAUUGAGCAUUGUGUUGACAUCAUUUUAUUAUGUGCCCUGCAUUUGAGAUCAGUUGUUAACACAGUUAAAUAAAUUUUGUUUUAAAAAUAAGUGUUGAGUGAUUGUACCCAAAAAUACUAUUCUCUGGAAAAACAAAAUAACAUCAAAUUUAUUAUGUGUCCUUCACUAGCUAGCCCCCUGGCAGGUUACAAUGAUUUAAAAUUCAGAAUUAAAAACAGUUAAUACAAAUUCAGGUGUCAGAGGCAAAGAGGUCCAUCUUCAUACUCCUAUCUUUAGUCCAAGACUGUAGUAAACCAAAACUGUUACGUACUUUAAACCUUCUGAAUGGCUUGAAGGACCUUCUGAAUCAACUGAAGAUAGCUAAGCUGGUAAUCAAACGAAUGUGUGUCUUCUUCAGUCUGUGUACUUACAAAUUUUGGAGAGUGGGAGAGAACAUUAGCAGAUUACUUUAUAAGGUAACAAACCCAAGAUUGAGCCGAUUUCUUUUUUGCUUUUUAUUCUUUUAACCACCUCCACAGUCACAAUCUGUGUUCAAAAAAGGGAGGGGUGCUAAUCCGCAUUAGUUGUUGAGAACAAACUGGCUAGUUCGCAAUUAUUCUGAGUGGUUUUUCUUUUGUAACAAAUCAGUACCUUAGCACUACAAUUCAAAUAUCUCAAGUGGUAUACUACUACAAGGGUUGCCCCUACUUGUCGGUUAAGAUUUAACUACAACUGGUUUAUUUAUACAAUAUACUAUGGGUUUUUUUCUUAAGUGUGGUGCUGUGCUAUGAAGUCUGAAAACUUGCUUGACUGAGCUGACAGAAUGUUAAUUAAGAUUCCACAUGACAUCAUGGGAGGUAAGUUAUUGGUCUUAGAAUUUUUUGACAUUCAAACUCUGCAAGCUGAAAUGAAAAUCCAGCAACUGAGAGUCUCAAAUGUGCCUAGGGACAGAAGGAGUUGCAACGGCAAAGCAGCUCCAAUAUAAAAAACACACAUUUUUAAAGGGCAGAAAGCUUUCUGACUAUGAGGCAUCUUAAUCUGGUUUCCACAAGUGAACUAGAACCCCUCACAGAAUA